UGCAAGUCGAACGAUGAAGCCCUUCGGGGUGGAUUAGUGGCGAACGGGUGAGUAACACGUGGGCAAUCUGCCCUUCACUCUGGGACAAGCCCUGGAAACGGGGUCUAAUACCGGAUAAUACCUGCCUGGGCAUCUGGGUGGGUUGAAAGCUCCGGCGGUGAAGGAUGAGCCCGCGGCCUAUCAGCUUGUUGGUGAGGUAGUGGCUCACCAAGGCGACGACGGGUAGCCGGCCUGAGAGGGCGACCGGCCACACUGGGACUGAGACACGGCCCAGACUCCUACGGGAGGCAGCAGUGGGGAAUAUUGCACAAUGGGCGAAAGCCUGAUGCAGCGACGCCGCGUGAGGGAUGACGGCCUUCGGGUUGUAAACCUCUUUCAGCAGGGAAGAAGCGAAAGUGACGGUACCUGCAGAAGAAGCGCCGGCUAACUACGUGCCAGCAGCCGCGGUAAUACGUAGGGCGCAAGCGUUGUCCGGAAUUAUUGGGCGUAAAGAGCUCGUAGGCGGCUUGUCACGUCGGGUGUGAAAGCCCGGGGCUUAACCCCGGGUCUGCAUUCGAUACGGGCUAGCUAGAGUGUGGUAGGGGAGAUCGGAAUUCCUGGUGUAGCGGUGAAAUGCGCAGAUAUCAGGAGGAACACCGGUGGCGAAGGCGGAUCUCUGGGCCAUUACUGACGCUGAGGAGCGAAAGCGUGGGGAGCGAACAGGAUUAGAUACCCUGGUAGUCCACG
RNAcentral lists this ribosomal RNA (726 nucleotides) under Streptomyces sp. YIM 56293. RNAcentral's name for it is "bacterial SSU rRNA". It matches the Rfam family "Bacterial small subunit ribosomal RNA", at positions 56 to 799 of the family's 1533-position model. Lineage: Bacteria; Bacillati; Actinomycetota; Actinomycetes; Kitasatosporales; Streptomycetaceae. The record is from RNAcentral.